CAACCCUCAAGCUCUGCUUGGUAUUGGGACUCGCGGUAACCACCCGCGUUCCCCAAAUCGAUUGGCGGUCACGUCGAGCUUCCAUAGCGUAGUAAUCAUACACCUCGUUACUGGUAAUCGUCGCGGCCACGCCGUAAAACCCCAACUUCUGAA
Molecule: unclassified non-coding RNA, 153 nt
Filed under: Fusarium chlamydosporum
Lineage: Eukaryota; Fungi; Ascomycota; Sordariomycetes; Hypocreales; Nectriaceae
Description: sequence contains ITS2
Source: RNAcentral